AGCGAACGCUGGCGGCAGGCCUAACACAUGCCAGUCGAACGGAUCCUUCGGGAUUAGUGGCGGACGGGUGAGUAACACGUGGGAACGUGCCCUUUGGUUCGGAACAACUCAGGGAGACUUGAGCUAAUACCGGAUGUGCCCUUCGGGGGAAAGAUUUAUCGCCAUUGGAGCGGCCCGCGUCUGAUUAGCUAGUUGGUGAGGUAACGGCCCACCAAGGCGACGAUCAGUAGCUGGUCUGAGAGGAUGAUCAGCCACACUGGGACUGAGACACGGCCCAGACUCCUACGGGAGGCAGCAGUGGGGAAUCUUGCGCAAUGGGCGAAAGCCUGACGCAGCCAUGCCGCGUGAAUGAUGAAGGUCUUAGGAUUGUAAAAUUCUUUCAGCGGGGACGAUAAUGACGGUACCCGCAGAAGAAGCGCCGGCUAACUUCGUG
This 433-nucleotide ribosomal RNA is filed under the name uncultured bacterium. RNAcentral's name for it is "partial 16S ribosomal RNA". It matches the Rfam family "Bacterial small subunit ribosomal RNA", at positions 29 to 507 of the family's 1533-position model. The record is from RNAcentral.